This 434-nucleotide ribosomal RNA is filed under the name uncultured bacterium. RNAcentral's name for it is "bacterial SSU rRNA". It matches the Rfam family "Bacterial small subunit ribosomal RNA", at positions 917 to 1350 of the family's 1533-position model. The record is from RNAcentral.
GGACCCGCACAAGUAGUGGAGCAUGUGGUUUAAUUCGAAGAUACGCGCAGAACCUUACCAACACUUGACAUGUUUGUCGCGACUUUAAGAGAUUAAAGUCUUCGGUUCGGCCGGACAAAACACAGGUGCUGCAUGGCUGUCGUCAGCUCGUGUCGUGAGAUGUUGGGUUAAGUCCCGCAACGAGCGCAACCCUCACUUUUAGUUGCCACCAUUUAGUUGGGCACUCUGAAAGAACUGCCAGUGAUAAGCUGGAGGAAGGUGGGGAUGACGUCAAGUCCUCAUGGCCCUUACGUGUUGGGCUACACACGUGCUACAAUGGCAUUUACAAUAGGAUGCAAGACGGCGACGUUAAGCAAAUCCUAAAAAAUGCCUCAGUUCGGAUUGUACUCUGCAACUCGAGUACAUGAAGCUGGAAUUACUAGUAAUCGCGGAUC